UCGGCUUAGAGUUUGAUCCUGGCUCAGAUUGAACGCUGGCGGCAGGCCUAACACAUGCAAGUCGAGCGGUAGGGAAGCUUGCUUCUCACGAGCGGCGGACGGGUGAGUAAUGUAUGGGGAUCUGCCCGAUAGAGGGGGAUAACUACUGGAAACGGUAGCUAAUACCGCAUAAUCUCUCAGGAGCAAAGCAGUUCGUUGCGCUAUCGGAUGAACCCAUAUGGGAUUAGCUAGUUGGUGAGGUAAUGGCUCACCAAGGCGACGAUCCCUAGCUGGUCUGAGAGGAUGAUCAGCCACACUGGGACUGAGACACGGCCCAGACUCCUACGGGAGGCAGCAGUGGGGAAUAUUGCACAAUGGGGGCAAGCCUGAUGCAGCCAUGCCGCGUGUAUGAAGAAGGCCUUAGGGUUGUAAAGUACUUUCGUGUAGGAGGAAGGGUUU
RNAcentral lists this ribosomal RNA (438 nucleotides) under uncultured Providencia sp. RNAcentral describes it as "bacterial SSU rRNA". It matches the Rfam family "Bacterial small subunit ribosomal RNA", at positions 1 to 455 of the family's 1533-position model. Lineage: Bacteria; Pseudomonadati; Pseudomonadota; Gammaproteobacteria; Enterobacterales; Morganellaceae. The record is from RNAcentral.